RNAcentral lists this unclassified non-coding RNA (407 nucleotides) under Hevea brasiliensis (rubber tree). The record is from RNAcentral. Lineage: Eukaryota; Viridiplantae; Streptophyta; Magnoliopsida; Malpighiales; Euphorbiaceae.
AUUUAUUAUUUAUGAAAUUAAAAAAUGUGUUAUUUUUCUUUUGUUUUAUAUAUCAUAUGAUUGUAUAUAACAUAACCAAUCUCAAAAUACCAUGUGUUAUUUCUAUCAAGGAGAACUUGAAAGCCAGAGGGCAACAGAUUGAAAUAGUGUUGUACAUCUCUUCAAUAAGAAGAAUAAGCUAUGGUAAAUUAAGAAUCUGGGUACUGGAACAUGUGGAAUGAUGGGUUAUGAAUGGUAAAUCCCCCAUCAAUAAAAAGAUUAUGCCCACUAACAUAUCUACCCUCAUCACUAGCUAGAUAUAGUGCGGCAUUGGCAACGUCUUCUGCCUUAACCGUCACACCCUUCAAGUUACCAAGUGAAUUCAUCACAUUCUCUAGUCCCUCGUCGUCAAGCCCAACAAAUUUUUU